GUUCAGUAGUGAGAACUAGAUGCCUCUAAAAAUUUAGUUUUGAAUCAGCAUGAUUCUCAAUGCGGAUAGCUUGACUUACAGGCAUCUAUGAUCCAAUAGAUACCUAUUUGGCGGUAGUGGAGGUGAAAUGACAACGGCCGUACAAUUACGUUCCGAGUACUUAAGUAUUAUGAUAGCAAUAGGGAAGACUCGAAUAGGAACAGGAGCACUUCUUCGUAAUAAAAUAUGUAGAUUGAGUCAUAUACGGCACAUUUGGCACAUUCGUCCAAUUCUGAUUUCGGUCUUCCUGCCCGAAGUUUACGCAUAUACAGAUUAGAUAAGUCUGUACCUACUUACCAUACUUUAACUUUUACAAUUAUUCAUUUAUAUAUAAUUUUUAAACCUUGUGUUUGAAUUUUUUAA
Long non-coding RNA from Manduca sexta (tobacco hornworm), 402 nucleotides. RefSeq lists it as uncharacterized. NCBI's taxonomy places the organism in Eukaryota, Metazoa, Arthropoda, Insecta, Lepidoptera, Sphingidae. The record is from RefSeq and is a predicted model, not a curated record. The transcript is spliced from 3 exons.